AACGAACGCUGGCGGCAUGCCUAACACAUGCAAGUCGAACGACACCUUCGGGUCUAGUGGCGCACGGGUGCGUAACGCGUGGGAACCUGCCCUUAGGUUCGGAAUAACUCCCCGAAAGGGGUGCUAAUACCGGAUAAUUUCUUCGGACCAAAGAUUUAUCGCCUUUGGAUGGGCCCGCGUUGGAUUAGCUAGUUGGUAGGGUAAAAGCCUACCAAGGCGACGAUCCAUAGCUGGUCUGAGAGGAUGAGCAGCCACACUGGGACUGAGACACGGCCCAGACUCUUACGGGAGGGAGGAGUGGGGAAUAUUGGAAAACGGGCGAAAGCCUGAUCCAGCAAUGCCGGGUGAGUGAUGAAGGCCUUAGGGAUGUAAAGCUCUUUUACCCGGGAUGAUAAUGACAGUACCGGGAGAAUAAGCGCCGGCUAACUUCGUG
Molecule: ribosomal RNA, 433 nt
Filed under: uncultured bacterium
Lineage: Bacteria
Description: partial 16S ribosomal RNA
Rfam family: Bacterial small subunit ribosomal RNA
Source: RNAcentral